UGCCACAUGGCUGGUUACCUGU
This 22-nucleotide non-coding RNA is filed under the name Mus musculus (house mouse). Lineage: Eukaryota; Metazoa; Chordata; Mammalia; Rodentia; Muridae. The record is from RNAcentral.